AUGCACAAGGCGGGGCUGCUAGGCCACUGUGCCCGGGCACGGAAGUCGGUGCGGAUGGCCAGCUCCGGGAUGACCCGCCGGGACCCGCUCACAAAUAAGGUGGCCCUGGUAACGGCCUCCACCGACGGCUUACAGAGUCAAGUCCCUGGGAACCUCAGGAAGCAGCCCACCAUGUUUCAACCACUUACUAUGUGCCAUUUCCUGUGUUCAGAGCCUUACACAGGUUAUCUCUAGACCUGACAACAACCCAAGCAAGGCAAGGACUAUUCUCUCGGUCUGCAGACGCUGGCUCAGAUAGCUGGAGCAACUUCCCAAGGUCCCACAGCCAGUAAGGAAAGACCCAGACCUCCCAAGCUCCCUUCCUUUAUUGGCUGCCUGUGGACUACCGGCUCUGGAUGGACAAGGAAAAAGAGGAAAGCAUGAAAGAAACCCUGCGGAUAAGAAGGUUAGGCGAGCCAGAGGAUUCUGUUGGCAUCGUGUCUUUCCUGUGCUC
RNAcentral lists this small RNA (493 nucleotides) under Pan troglodytes (chimpanzee). RNAcentral describes it as "processed transcript". Lineage: Eukaryota; Metazoa; Chordata; Mammalia; Primates; Hominidae. The record is from RNAcentral.